CGACGAAGAUGGGAUUCGAACCCACGCGGGCAGAGCCCAUUGGAUUAGCAGUCCAACGCCUUAACCACUCGGCCACCUCGUC
Molecule: transfer RNA, 82 nt
Filed under: Aedes aegypti (yellow fever mosquito)
Lineage: Eukaryota; Metazoa; Arthropoda; Insecta; Diptera; Culicidae
Description: partial tRNA-OTHER
Source: RNAcentral